GAAAAUGAAACAGAGAUUACAUGGAGGAAAAAAAAAUUAAAACUUUAUCAUACAAAAGAAGGGUACAACUUUUCCUCUAGUUUCUGCUGAACAAACUUCUUAAUUUCCCUCUUUCUAAUCGCUCGAGCAGCUUCUUAGCCCCUGGGAUGUCCAUCUCAGUGAGUUUCUUGAGGUAACCAAUUGCACCAUAGGAAAUCAUAAGCUUUUUACAUUUCUUGCUUGAAGAAAGAGAUGCUAGGCAGGACACAGCGUACUUCUUUGCGGUGUUUUGUGGACUUGGGUCAAGCAAUUGCACCAGAUUUGGCACACUUUUAUCAUUCUUUUUAACUUCUCUGCAAUUCUGUGAAAGGUAUACCAAACUUGCAAUUGCUUGUGCAGAAACCUCCCUAACACUGUUUGAUUUAGCCUCGAGCAAUUUGAUGAACAGAGGAAUGCAUCCAGCUUCGCCCACCAAUUUUUUCAUCUCCGUUGAGCUGCAAACCCGACAAAUUGCAGAUGCAGCGGCUUGUUGUGCACCCAACGAUCCAGAUUUAAGGACAUGAACCAAGCGAGGGAGGAAACCAAGAGAAACCAACAUUUCCACAGACACUGAGGUUACCAAAUUCCUUAAUGCUGCAACUGCAGAUUCUUGGGGCAAUGGACCAUCUAGAUAUGCCAAUAGCCUUCGGAUUCCACCUUCUGAAAUGACAAUUCUCCUUAGAUUGUUAUUGCUGGCAGUGAGAUUCUGCAAGCAUUCUGCCGCAUAUUCUUUAGAUCCUAGUAGAAUUCCACAAUCAAGGAG
This 781-nucleotide unclassified non-coding RNA is filed under the name Hevea brasiliensis (rubber tree). Lineage: Eukaryota; Viridiplantae; Streptophyta; Magnoliopsida; Malpighiales; Euphorbiaceae. The record is from RNAcentral.